RNAcentral lists this ribosomal RNA (253 nucleotides) under uncultured bacterium. Its description in RNAcentral is "partial 16S ribosomal RNA". It matches the Rfam family "Bacterial small subunit ribosomal RNA", at positions 524 to 776 of the family's 1533-position model. The record is from RNAcentral.
UACGGGGGGGGCAAGCGUUGUUCGGAAUUACUGGGCGUAAAGGGCUCGUAGGCGGCCAACUAAGUCAGACGUGAAAUCCCUCGGCUUAACCGGGGAACUGCGUCUGAUACUGGAUGGCUUGAAUCCGGGAGAGGGAUGCGGAAUUCCAGGUGUAGCGGUGAAAUGCGUAGAUAUCUGGAGGAACACCGGUGGCGAAGGCGGCAUCCUGGACCGGCAUUGACGCUGAGGAGCGAAAGCCAGGGGAGCAAAUGGG